UACGUAGGGGGCAAGCGUUGUCCGGAUUCAUUGGGCGUAAAGGGUGCGUAGGCGGCGCGGUAAGUCGGAUGUGAAAUCUCGGAGCUUAACUUCGAAACUGCAUUCGAUACUGCCGUGCUUGAGGACUGGAGAGGAGACUGGAAUUUACGGUGUAGCGGUGAAAUGCGUAGAUAUCGUAAGGAAGACCAGUGGCGAAGGCGGGUCUCUGGACAGUUCCUGACGCUGAGGCACGAAGGUCAGGGGAGCAAACGGG
This 253-nucleotide ribosomal RNA is filed under the name uncultured bacterium. RNAcentral's name for it is "partial 16S ribosomal RNA". It matches the Rfam family "Bacterial small subunit ribosomal RNA", at positions 524 to 776 of the family's 1533-position model. The record is from RNAcentral.